AGUAACACGUGGAUAACCUACCUAUAAGACUGGGAUAACUUCGGGAAACCGGAGCUAAUAUCGGAUAAUAUUUUGAACCGCAUGGUUCAAAAGUGAAAGACGGUCUUGCUGUCACUUAUAGAUGGAUCCGCGCUGCAUUAGCUAGUUGGUAAGGUAACGGCUUACCAAGGCAACGAUGCAUAGCCGACCUGAGAGGGUGAUCGGCCACACUGGAACUGAGACACGGUCCAG
This 231-nucleotide ribosomal RNA is filed under the name uncultured Staphylococcus sp. RNAcentral describes it as "partial 16S ribosomal RNA". It matches the Rfam family "Bacterial small subunit ribosomal RNA", at positions 109 to 334 of the family's 1533-position model. Lineage: Bacteria; Bacillati; Bacillota; Bacilli; Caryophanales; Staphylococcaceae. The record is from RNAcentral.